GAUGAACGCUGGCUACAGGCUUAACACAUGCAAGUCGAGGGGAAACGACGGGGAAGCUUGCUUCCCCGGGCGUCGACCGGCGCAUGGGUGAGUAACGCGUAUCCAACCUGCCUCUGACUGAGGGAUAACCCGUCGGAAGUCGGCCUAAUACCUCAUGGCAUCGUCUGCGGGCAUCCAACGACGAUUAAAGAUUUCAUCGGUCAGAGAUGGGGAUGCGUCUGAUUAGCUUGUUGGCGGGGUAACGGCCCACCAAGGCGACGAUCAGUAGGGGUUCUGAGAGGAAGGUCCCCCACAUUGGAACUGAGACACGGUCCAAACUCCUACGGGAGGCAGCAGUGAGGAAUAUUGGUCAAUGGGCGAGAGCCUGAACCAGCCAAGUAGCGUGCAGGAUGACGGCCCUAUGGGUUGUAAACUGCUUUUAUGCGGGGAUAAAGUGAGGGACGUGUCCUUCAUUGCAGGUACCGCAUGAAUAAGGACCGGCUAAUUCCGUG
Molecule: ribosomal RNA, 491 nt
Filed under: uncultured bacterium
Lineage: Bacteria
Description: partial 16S ribosomal RNA
Rfam family: Bacterial small subunit ribosomal RNA
Source: RNAcentral